GAUGAACGCUGGCGGCGUGCCUAAUACAUGCAAGUCGAGCGAACAGACGAGGAGCUUGCUCCUCUGACGUUAGCGGCGGACGGGUGAGUAACACGUGGAUAACCUACCUAUAAGACUGGGAUAACUUCGGGAAACCGGAGCUAAUCCCGGAUAAUAUAUUGAACCGCAUGGUUCAAUAGUGAAAGACGGUUUUGCUGUCACUUAUAGAUGGAUCCGCGCCGCAUUAGGUAGUUGGUAAGGUAACGGCUUACCAUGGCGACGAUGCGUAGCCGACCUGGGAGGGUAGGCGGCCACACUGCAACGGAGACACGGUCCAGACUCCAACGAGAGGCAGCAGAAGGGAAUCUUCCGCAAUGGGCGAAAGCAUGACGGAACAACGCCGCGUGAGUGAUGAAGGUCUUCGGAUCGUAAAACUCUGUUAUUAGGGAAGAACAAAUGUGUAAGUAACUAUGCACGUCUUGACGGUACCUAAUCAGAAAGCCACGGCUAACUACGUG
This 497-nucleotide ribosomal RNA is filed under the name uncultured bacterium. Its description in RNAcentral is "partial 16S ribosomal RNA". It matches the Rfam family "Bacterial small subunit ribosomal RNA", at positions 28 to 507 of the family's 1533-position model. The record is from RNAcentral.